GAUGAAGAACGCAGCGAAAUGCGAUAAGUAGCGUGAAUUGCAGAAUUCAGUGAAUCAUCGAAUCUUUGAACGCACAUUGCGCCCCUUGGUAUUCCAUGGGGCAUGCCUGUUCGAGCGUCAUUUGUACCCUCAAGCUUUGCUUGGUGUUGGGUGUUUGUCCUCUCCUUUGCGUUUGGACUCGCCUUAAAGCAAUUGGCAGCCAGUGUUUUGGUAUUGAAGCGCAGCACAUUUUGCGAUUCUAGCCGAUAAUACUUGCGUCCAUAAGCCUUUUUUAACUUUUGACCUCGGAUCAGGUAGGGAUACCCGCUGAACUUAAGCAUAUCAAUAAGCGGAGGA
RNAcentral lists this unclassified non-coding RNA (336 nucleotides) under soil metagenome. Its description in RNAcentral is "partial contains 5.8S ribosomal RNA, internal transcribed spacer 2, and large subunit ribosomal RNA". The stretch from base 1 to 120 matches the Rfam family "5.8S ribosomal RNA", at positions 35 to 154 of the family's 154-position model. The record is from RNAcentral.